GACGAACGCUGGCGGCGUGCUUAACACAUGCAAGUCGAGCGGUAAGGCCCUUCGGGGUACACGAGCGGCGAACGGGUGAGUAACACGUGGGUGACCUGCCCUCAGCUUCGGGAUAAGCCUGGGAAACCGGGUCUAAUACCGGAUAUGACUACGGGACGCAUGUUCUGUGGUGGAAAGUUUUUCGGCUGGGGAUGGGCCCGCGGCCUAUCAGCUUGUUGGUGGGGUGAUGGCCUACCAAGGCGGUGACGGGUAGCCGGCCUGAGAGGGCGACCGGCCACACUGGGACUGAGACACGGCCCAGACUCCUACGGGAGGCAGCAGUGGGGAAUAUUGCGCAAUGGGCGGAAGCCUGACGCAGCGACGCCGCGUGGGGGAUGACGGCCUUCGGGUUGUAAACCUCUUUCGCCAGGGACGAAGCUUUUGUGACGGUACCUGGAGAAGAAGCACCGGCCAACUACGUGCCAGCCGCCGCGUAAAC
This 478-nucleotide ribosomal RNA is filed under the name uncultured bacterium. RNAcentral describes it as "bacterial SSU rRNA". It matches the Rfam family "Bacterial small subunit ribosomal RNA", at positions 28 to 524 of the family's 1533-position model. The record is from RNAcentral.